AGCAGUAGCCGCGGGAAUACGUAGGUGGCAAGCGUUGUCCGGAAUUAUUGGGCGUAAAGGGCUCGCAGGCGGUUUCUUAAGUCUGAUGUGAAAGCCCCCGGCUCAACCGGGGAGGGUCAUUGGAAACUGGGAAACUUGAGUGCAGAAGAGGAGAGUGGAAUUCCACGUGUAGCGGUGAAAUGCGUAGGGAUGUGGAGGAACUCCAGUGGCGGAGGCGACUCUCUGGUCUGUAGCUGACGCUGAGGAGCGAAAGCGUGAGGAGCGAACAGGAUUAGAUACCCCCGUAGUCCCUGUCUCUUAUAC
Molecule: ribosomal RNA, 303 nt
Filed under: uncultured bacterium
Lineage: Bacteria
Description: partial 16S ribosomal RNA
Rfam family: Bacterial small subunit ribosomal RNA
Source: RNAcentral